GCGCCAUAGGCAAGAGGG
This 18-nucleotide unclassified non-coding RNA is filed under the name Chlamydomonas reinhardtii. RNAcentral's name for it is "small RNA Cre_1738". Lineage: Eukaryota; Viridiplantae; Chlorophyta; Chlorophyceae; Chlamydomonadales; Chlamydomonadaceae. The record is from RNAcentral.